Molecule: non-coding RNA, 189 nt
Filed under: Desulfobacterales bacterium
Lineage: Bacteria; Pseudomonadati; Thermodesulfobacteriota; Desulfobacteria; Desulfobacterales
Source: RNAcentral
AGUAUUUUAAUUAAUUCAGGUGCUCGGUAAAGAGCGCAAGAGGGAACUCCGUGCAAUUCGGAGACGGGCCCGCCGCUGUAACCGGGGACGAAAACCGCAGCAUGUCACUGUCCGUUUGAAACGGAUGGGAAGGCGCGGCAAGUAGGAUGAUCCGGAAGUCAGAAGACCUGCCUGAAGUUGUUGUCUUAU